Molecule: ribosomal RNA, 499 nt
Filed under: uncultured bacterium
Lineage: Bacteria
Description: partial 16S ribosomal RNA
Rfam family: Bacterial small subunit ribosomal RNA
Source: RNAcentral
GACGAACGCUGGCGGCGUGCCUAAUACAUGCAAGUCGAGCGAAGUUUUUCUGGUGCUUGCACCGGAAAAACUUAGCGGCGAACGGGUGAGUAACACGUAAAGAACCUGCCUCAUAGACUGGGACAACUAUUGGAAACGAUAGCUAAUACCGGAUAACAGCAUUAACUGCAUGGUUGAUGUUUAAAAGUUGGUUUUGCUAACACUAUGAGAUGGCUUUGCGGUGCAUUAGCUAGUUGGUGGGGUAAAGGCCUACCAAGGCGACGAUGCAUAGCCGACCUGAGAGGGUGAUCGGCCACACUGGGACUGAGAAACGGCCCAGACUCCUACGGGAGGCAGCAGUAGGGAAUCUUCCGCAAUGGGCGAAAGCCUGACGGAGCAACGCCGCGUGAGUGAAGAAGGAUUUCGGUUCGUAAAGCUCUGUUGUUAGGGAAGAAUGAUUGUGUAGUAACUAUACACAGUAGAGACGGUACCUAACCAGAAAGCCACGGCUAACUACGUG